This 440-nucleotide ribosomal RNA is filed under the name uncultured bacterium. RNAcentral describes it as "partial 16S ribosomal RNA". It matches the Rfam family "Bacterial small subunit ribosomal RNA", at positions 338 to 795 of the family's 1533-position model. The record is from RNAcentral.
CCUACGGGAGGCAGCAGUGGGGAAUAUUGCACAAUGGGGGAAACCCUGAUGCAGCGACGCCGCGUGAGUGAAGAAGUAUUUCGGUAUGUAAAGCUCUAUCAGCAGGGAAGAAAAUGACGGUACCUGAUUAAGAAGCCCCGGCUAACUACGUGCCAGCAGCCGCGGUAAUACGUAGGGGGCAAGCGUUAUCCGGAUUUACUGGGUGUGAAGGGAGCGUAGACGGCAGCACAAGUCUGGAGUGAAAUGCCGGGGCUUAACCCCUGAACUGCUUUGGAAACUGUGCAGCUAGAGUGCAGGAGAGGUAAGUGGAAUUCCUAGUGUAGCGGUGAAAUGCGUAGAUAUUAGGAGGAACACCAGUGGCGAAGGCGGCUUACUGGACUGUAACUGACGUUGAGGCUCGAAAGCGUGGGGAGCAAACAGGAUUAGAUACCCGGGUAGUC